CCAUGCCGCGUGCAGGAUGACGGUCCUAUGGAUUGUAAACUGCUUUAUACAGGAAGAAACACUCGGACGUGUCCGAGCUUGACGGUACUGUAGGAAUAAGGAUCGGGCUAACUCCGUGCCAGCAGCCGCGGUAAUACAGAGGGUGCAAGCGUUGUUCGGAAUUAUUGGGCGUAAAGCGCGUGUAGGCGGCUUUGCAAGUCGGGUGUGAAAGCCCUCGGCUCAAACCGAGGAAGUGCGCCCGAAACUGCAGAGCUUGAGUACCGGAGAGGAUGGCGGAAUUCCCCAAGUAGAGGUGAAAUUCGUAGAUAUGGGGAGGAACACCGGUGGCGAAGGCGGCCAUCUGGACGGAUACUGACGCUGAGACGCGAAAGCGUGGGUAGCGAACAGGAUUAGAUACCCUGGUAGUCCACGCCGUAAACGAUGAGAACUAGGUGUCGUGGGUGUUGACCCCCGCGGUGCCGUAGCUAACGCAUUAAGUUCUCCGCCUGGGAAGUACGCUCGCAAGGCUA
This 509-nucleotide ribosomal RNA is filed under the name uncultured Pseudomonadota bacterium. RNAcentral's name for it is "bacterial SSU rRNA". It matches the Rfam family "Bacterial small subunit ribosomal RNA", at positions 392 to 896 of the family's 1533-position model. Lineage: Bacteria; Pseudomonadati; Pseudomonadota. The record is from RNAcentral.